AAUGGGCGAAAGCCUGACGGAGCAAUACCGCGUGAGGGACGAAGGUCUGUGGAUUGUAAACCUCUUUUGUUGGGGAAGAUAAUGACGGUACCCAACGAAUAAGCAUCGGCUAACUCCGUGCCAGCAGCCGCGGUAAGACGGAGGAUGCAAGCGUUAUCCGGAAUUAUUGGGCGUAAAGCGUACGUAGGCUGUUUCAUAAGUCUGUUGUCAAAGCGCGAGGCUCAACCUUGUAAAGGCAAUGGAAACUGCGAGACUAGAGAGAGAUAGGGGCAGGAGGAAUUCCAGGUGUAGCGGUGAAAUGCGUAGAUAUCUGGAAGAACACCAGUGGCGAAAGCGUCCUGCUGGAUCUCAACUGACGCUGAAGUACGAAAGCUAGGGGAGCGAAUGGGAUUAGAUACCCC
RNAcentral lists this ribosomal RNA (401 nucleotides) under uncultured cyanobacterium. Its description in RNAcentral is "bacterial SSU rRNA". It matches the Rfam family "Bacterial small subunit ribosomal RNA", at positions 370 to 788 of the family's 1533-position model. Lineage: Bacteria; Bacillati; Cyanobacteriota. The record is from RNAcentral.